Molecule: ribosomal RNA, 1260 nt
Filed under: metagenome
Description: bacterial LSU rRNA
Rfam family: Bacterial large subunit ribosomal RNA
Source: RNAcentral
UGUACGACCGUACCGCAACCCGACACUGGUGCGCGAGAUGAGUAUUCUAAGGCGCUUGAGAGAACUCAGGAGAAGGAACUCGGCAAAUUGACACCGUAACUUCGGAAGAAGGUGUGCCCUAUUAGUGUGUAGUGAACAACGAAGCAUGAAUGGGUUGCAAAAAAUCGGUGGCUGCGACUGUUUAUCAAAAACACAGCACUCUGCAAACACGAAAGUGGACGUAUAGGGUGUGACGCCUGCCCGGUGCUGGAAGAUUAAAUGAUGGGGUGCAAGCUCUUGAUUGAAGUCCCAGUAAACGGCGGCCGUAACUAUAACGGUCCUAAGGUAGCGAAAUUCCUUGUCGGGUAAGUUCCGACCUGCACGAAUGGCGUAACGAUGGCCACACUGUCUCCUCCUGAGACCCAGCGAAGUUGAAAUGUUUGUGAUGAUGCAAUCUCCCCGCGGAAAGACGGAAAGACCCCAUGAACCUUUACUGUAGCUUUGUAUUGGACUUUGAACAGAUCUGUGUGGGAUAGGUGGGAGGCUUUGGAGCAGGGUUGCUAGAUCUUGUGGAGCCAACGUUGAAAUACCACCCUGGUGUGUUUGAGGUUCUAACCUAGGUCCAUUAUCUGGAUCGGGGACAGUGCAUGGUAGGCAGUUUGACUGGGGCGGUCUCCUCCCAAAGCGUAACGGAGGAGUUCGAAGGUACGCUAGUUACGGUCGGACAUCGUGACGAUAGUGCAAUGGCAUAAGCGUGCUUAACUGCGAGACUGACAAGUCGAGCAGAUGCGAAAGCAGGACAUAGUGAUCCGGUGGUUCUGUAUGGAAGGGCCAUCGCUCAACGGAUAAAAGGUACUCUGGGGAUAACAGGCUGAUACCGCCCAAGAGUUCAUAUCGACGGCGGUGUUUGGCACCUCGAUGUCGGCUCAUCUCAUCCUGGGGCUGUAGCCGGUCCCAAGGGUAUGGCUGUUCGCCAUUUAAAGAGGUACGUGAGCUGGGUUUAAAACGUCGUGAGACAGUUUGGUCCCUAUCUUCCGUGGGCGCUGCAGAUUUGAGGAAGCCUGCUCCUAGUACGAGAGGACCGGAGUGGACACACCUCUGGUGUAUCGGUUGUCACGCCAGUGCAUUGCCGAGUAGCUAAGUGUGGAAGAGAUAACCGCUGAAAGCAUCUAAGCGGGAAACUCGUUUCAAGAUGAGAUCUGCCGGGGCCUUGAGCCCCCUAAAGAGUCGUUCAAGACCAGGACGUUGAUAGGUCAGGUGUGGAAGCGAAAAAAAAAAAAU